Small nuclear RNA from Sorex fumeus (smoky shrew), 161 nucleotides. RefSeq annotates it as U1 spliceosomal RNA. Lineage: Eukaryota; Metazoa; Chordata; Mammalia; Eulipotyphla; Soricidae. The record is from RefSeq and is a predicted model, not a curated record. The transcript has a single exon.
AUACUUACCUGGCAGGGGAGAGAUCAUGAAGGUGAUUUCCCAGGGCAAGGCUUAUCCAUUGCAUUCUAGAUAUGCUGACCUCUGUGAUUUCCCCAAAUGUGGGGAACUCGACUGCAGAAUUUGUGAUGGGAGGACAGGUAAGGCGUUUACACUCUUCCCUG